This 253-nucleotide ribosomal RNA is filed under the name uncultured bacterium. RNAcentral describes it as "partial 16S ribosomal RNA". It matches the Rfam family "Bacterial small subunit ribosomal RNA", at positions 524 to 776 of the family's 1533-position model. The record is from RNAcentral.
UACGAAGGGGGCUAGCGUUGCUCGGAAUUACUGGGCGUAAAGGGCGCGUAGGCGGACAGUUUAGUCAGAGGUGAAAGCCCAGGGCUCAACCUUGGAAUUGCCUUUGAUACUGGCUGUCUUGAGUUCGGGAGAGGUGAGUUGAAUGCCGAGUGUAGAGGUGAAAUUCGUAGAUAUUCGGCGGAACACCAGUGGCGAAGGCGACUCACUGGCCCGAUACUGACGCUGAGGCGCGAAAGCGUGGGGAGCAAACAGG